RNAcentral lists this ribosomal RNA (497 nucleotides) under uncultured bacterium. RNAcentral describes it as "partial 16S ribosomal RNA". It matches the Rfam family "Bacterial small subunit ribosomal RNA", at positions 28 to 507 of the family's 1533-position model. The record is from RNAcentral.
GACGAACGCUGGCGGCGUGCCUAAUACAUGCAAGUUGAGCGCUGAAGGUUGGUUCUUGUACCAACUGGAUGAGCAGCGAACGGGUGAGUAACGCGUGGGGAAUCUGCCUUUGAGCGGGGGACAACAUUUGGAAACGAAUGCUAAUACCGCAUAAAAACUUUAAACACAAGUUUUAAGUUUGAAAGAUGUAAUUGCAUCACUGAAAGAUGAUCCCGCGUUGUAUUAGCUAGUUGGUGAGGUAAAGGCGCACCAAGGCGGUGAUACAUAGCCGGCCUGAGAGGGUGAGCGGCCACAUUGGGACUGAGACCCGGCCCAAACUCCUACGGGAAGCAGCAGUAGGGAAUCUUCGGCAAUGGACGAAAGUCAGACCGAGCAACGCCGCGUGAGUGAAGAAGGUUUUCGGAUCGUAAAACUCUGUUGGUAGAGAAGAACGUUGGUGAGAGUGGAAAGCUCAUCAAGUGACGGUAACUACCCAGAAAGCGACGGCUAACUACGUG